Molecule: ribosomal RNA, 253 nt
Filed under: uncultured bacterium
Lineage: Bacteria
Description: partial 16S ribosomal RNA
Rfam family: Bacterial small subunit ribosomal RNA
Source: RNAcentral
UACGGAGGGCGCGAGCGUUAAUCGGAAUUACUGGGCGUAAAGCGCGCGUAGGCUGUUGUGUAAGUUGGGGGUGAAAUCCCACGACUCAACCGUGGAACAGCCCUUGAUACUGCGCGACUUGAAUCCGGGAGAGGGUGGCGGAAUUCCAGGUGUAGGAGUGAAAUCCGUAGAUAUCUGGAGGAACAUCAGUGGCGAAGGCGGCCACCUGGACCGGUAUUGACGCUGAGGCGCGAAAGCGUGGGGAGCAAACAGG